GGACUUGGUGGGGAGAUUCCAUUAUCUAGAAGGUGAUAUUCUCAAGGUAAGUCUCCUCCAUUGCUUUCAGGGUGUGAUUUCCCCAAUUGUGGAAACUUGAUUUCAUGAUUUGUGGUAGUGGUGGACUCCAUUC
This 133-nucleotide small nuclear RNA is filed under the name Peromyscus maniculatus bairdii (prairie deer mouse). Its description in RNAcentral is "U1 spliceosomal RNA (ENSPEMG00000001310.2)". The record is from RNAcentral. Lineage: Eukaryota; Metazoa; Chordata; Mammalia; Rodentia; Cricetidae.